This is a long non-coding RNA of Zophobas morio, 580 nucleotides long. RefSeq lists it as uncharacterized. NCBI's taxonomy places the organism in Eukaryota, Metazoa, Arthropoda, Insecta, Coleoptera, Tenebrionidae. The record is from RefSeq and is a predicted model, not a curated record. The transcript is spliced from 2 exons.
CCAACAGCCUAGAGACAAAAGUGAGGUUAAGUUGAACCUGACGAGGACCCGUCAAAGCGAUAUUGAUGUAGUUCGGAGACUGCUAUGCCCGAACAACACCCUAUCACCCCGACAACCCAAAAUCAACACUACUUUUUCGAAAAUCCUCGAGCCACGACGGUAGAGUUCAAAAUUCUUAGUUUUUUUCCCUGUAAGAAGAAAAGAACAAAAACAAAAUGUCUUGCUGCGGUGGACCUUGCUGCUCUCCUUGCUGUGCGCCAUGUUGCGCGCCAUGUUGUGCCCCCUGUUGUGUACCCUGCUGCUGCCCACCGCCCUGCGUUUAUGUACCAUGUUGUGUACCAUGCUGUGCUCCAUGCUGCUCCCCAUGUUGCCCACCCUGCGGCAAGAAGUGCUGCUAACAGCGCCCUAAAGACACCGAGGAAAAUACUACACAUUUUGAAAUCACAUUUCGGCCUGUUUAGUAUAAAUUUUCUGUAAUUAAAAUGUAAUAAAUGGUAUUUGCCUCUACAUAUAUUUUAUGUGCAAAACUGAAUGAUAUGCAAACUCUUGACAUGUAAAAAUAAACAUUCAAAAACCAUAA